GAUGAACGCUGGCGGCGUGCCUAAUACAUGCAAGUCGAGCGAACAGACGAGGAGCUUACUCCUCUGACGUUAGCGGCGGACGGGUGAGUAACACGUGGAUAACCUACCUAUAAGACUGGGAUAACUUCGGGAAACCGGAGCUAAUACCGGAUAACAUGUUGAACCGCAUGGUUCAACAGUGAAAGACGGUCUUGCUGUCACUUAUAGAUGGAUCCGCGUCGCAUUAGCUAGUUGGUAAGGUAACGGCUUACCAAGGCAACGAUGCGUAGCCGACCUUAGAGGGUGAUCGGCCCCACUGGAACUGAGACACGGUCCAGACUCCUACGGGAGGCAGCAGUAGGGAAUCUUCCGCAAUGGGCGAAAGCCUGACGGAGCAACGCCGCGUGAGUGAAGAAGGUCUUCGGAUCGUAAAACUCUGUUAUUAGGGAAGAACAAAUGUGUAAGUAACUAUGCACGUCUUGACGGUACCUAAUCAGAAAGCCACGGCUAACUACGUG
RNAcentral lists this ribosomal RNA (497 nucleotides) under uncultured bacterium. RNAcentral's name for it is "partial 16S ribosomal RNA". It matches the Rfam family "Bacterial small subunit ribosomal RNA", at positions 28 to 507 of the family's 1533-position model. The record is from RNAcentral.